Molecule: small nuclear RNA, 106 nt
Filed under: Chinchilla lanigera (long-tailed chinchilla)
Lineage: Eukaryota; Metazoa; Chordata; Mammalia; Rodentia; Chinchillidae
Source: RNAcentral
GUGCUCCUUUUGGCAGCAUAUAUCCUAAAUUUAGAGUGAUAAAGAGAAGAUUAGGAAGACCCCUAGCAAAAAUAAUACGGAAAUUUGCAAAAUAUUCUGUAUUUUA